GCGAUCGCUUCGGCAGCACAGAUACUAAGAUCGGAACGAUACAGAGAAGAUUAGCGUGGCCCCUGCCCGAGGAGGACAUGCUAACGUUCAGUAAGGAAAAGAAAUACC
Ailuropoda melanoleuca (giant panda) is the source of this 108-nucleotide small nuclear RNA. Lineage: Eukaryota; Metazoa; Chordata; Mammalia; Carnivora; Ursidae. The record is from Ensembl.